Molecule: ribosomal RNA, 477 nt
Filed under: uncultured organism
Description: partial 16S ribosomal RNA
Rfam family: Bacterial small subunit ribosomal RNA
Source: RNAcentral
GUACACUCCUACGGGAGGCAGCAGUGGGGAAUUUUGGACAAUGGGCGAAAGCCUGAUCCAGCAAUGCCGCGUGAGUGAAGAAGGCCUUCGGGUUGUAAAGCUCUUUUGUCAGGGAAGAAACGGUGAGAGCUAAUAUCUCUUGCUAAUGACGGUACCUGAAGAAUAAGCACCGGCCAACUACGUGCCAGCAGCCGCGGUAAUACGUAGGGUGCAAGCGUUAAUCGGAAUUACUGGGCGUAAAGCGUGCGCAGGCGGUUUUGUAAGUCUGAUGUGAAAUCCCCGGGCUCAACCUGGGAAUUGCAUUGGAGACUGCAAGGCUAGAAUCUGGCAGAGGGGGGUAGAAUUCCACGUGUAGCAGUGAAAUGCGUAGAUAUGUGGAGGAACACCGAUGGCGAAGGCAGCCCCCUGGGUCAAGAUUGACGCUCAUGCACGAAAGCGUGGGGAGCAAACAGGAUUAGAUACCCGUGUAGUCCCAUG